Molecule: ribosomal RNA, 909 nt
Filed under: uncultured fungus
Lineage: Eukaryota; Fungi
Description: eukaryotic LSU rRNA
Rfam family: Eukaryotic large subunit ribosomal RNA (bases 590-909)
Source: RNAcentral
CAUUAUUGAAUAAACUUGAACAAGCUGUUUUUGCUGGCUUCUUUGGAGGCAUGUGCACGCUUGUCAUCUUUAUCUUUCCAACUUGUGCACUUAUUGUAGAUCUUGGAAGUUUGAAUUAUUUUCUAUAGAUUGAGGACUGCUGUGCUUUUACUAAAAAAAAGGUCAGCUUUGCCUUGUAUUUCGAGAUCUAUGUUUAUUACAACCUCUUAAUAUGUUAAGAAUGUUAAAAAAAGAGUUAAUUUAUACAACUUUCAGCAACGGAUCUCUUGGCUCUCGCAUCGAUGAAGAACGCAGCGAAAUGUGAUAAGUAAUGUGAAUUGCAGAAUUCAGUGAAUCAUCGAAUCUUUGAACGCAUCUUGCGCUUCUUGGUAUUCCGAGGAGCAUGCCUGUUUGAGUGUCAUUAAAUUCUCAACCAUAUUAAAUUCUUUUGAUAUGGCUUGGUUAUUGGAAGCCUGCAGGUCUUUUUUUAUAUGGGUCUGCUCUUCUAAAAUGCAUUAGUAGUAUAUACUGCUUACAGAUGUGAUAAUUAUUUACAUCUCUAUAGCAGAUCAUGCUGCUACUAACAAAAGUUGAACAUGUAUUAUAUAUUUGACCUCAAAUCAGGUAGGAGUACCCGCUGAACUUAAGCAUAUCAAUAAGCGGAGGAAAAGAAACUAACAAGGAUUCCCUUAGUAACUGCGAGUGAAGUGGGAAAAGCUCAAAUUUGAAAUCUGGCAGUUCUUGACUGUCCGAGUUGUAAUCUAGAGAAGUGUUACCUGUGCUGGACCAUGUAUAAGUCUUCUGGAAUGGAGUAUCAUAGAGGGUGAGAAUCCCGUCUUUGACAUGGACUACCAGUGCAUUAUGGUGUGCUCUCAAAGAGUCGAGUUGUUUGGGAAUGCAGCUCAAAAUGGGUGGUAAAUGCCAUCUAAA